AGAGUUUGAUCAUGGCUCAGAUUGAACGCUGGCGGCAUGCUUUACACAUGCAAGUCGAGCGGCAGCGCGGGGGCAACCCUGGCGGCGAGCGGCGGACGGGUGAGUAAUGCAUCGGAACGUAUCCCGUAGUGGGGGACAACCCAGCGAAAGCUGGGCUAAUACCGCAUAUGCUCUACGGAGGAAAGUGGGGGACCCGCAAGGGCCUCACGCUAUGGGAGCGGCCGAUGUCCGAUUAGCUAGUUGGUGGGGUAAAGGCCUACCAAGGCGACGAUCGGUAGCUGGUCUGAGAGGAUGAUCAGCCACACUGGGACUGAGACACGGCCCAGACUCCUACGGGAGGCAGCAGUGGGAAUUUUGGACAAUGGGGGCAACCCUGAUCCAGCCAUGCCGCGUGCGGGAAGAAGGCCUUCGGGUUGUAAACCGCUUUUGUUCGGGAAGAAAAGGCACGUCCUAAUACGGCGUGUUCUUGACGGUACCGGAAGAGUAAGCACCGGCUAACUACGUG
Molecule: ribosomal RNA, 505 nt
Filed under: uncultured bacterium
Lineage: Bacteria
Description: bacterial SSU rRNA
Rfam family: Bacterial small subunit ribosomal RNA
Source: RNAcentral